Scaptodrosophila lebanonensis is the source of this 1745-nucleotide RNA transcript. It is a transcript of the gene named protein aubergine-like, with no coding region annotated. The record is from RefSeq and is a predicted model, not a curated record. The transcript is spliced from 4 exons. Lineage: Eukaryota; Metazoa; Arthropoda; Insecta; Diptera; Drosophilidae.
GAAAGUGAAAUAGCAGCAGCAAACGUCAACAAAAGGAAGAAAUUGGCGCCUUUCACUGACGCUAUGUUAAAAGCUUUCGUUCGCGCCAGCGGUAGUACGUUCGCUCUUUUUUAUUCCGAACGUCGAUCAAGCCAGAAGUGUAUGAAGUGUUAAGUUCAACUUGUCGAAAUAAAAAAAAAAAAAGUCAAAUUUUCUUCCGCUGGCAAGAAAGCAAAUGCUUGUGCCUUUUGUGGGAAAAAAAAUAAAGUUCACAAAUUAAAUUCAAAAGAGUGUAAUUGUUCUGUUUAACCGCUUUGAAGGGUACAACCAUCAAAGCCGCUAAAAUAUUUGCGGAAGAAGUAUCAGACCUCGGGCCUUGAUCAGCUGUCUGCAACAACAAACCUUGCCUGGGACUUCCACUCGGUCGGCCGCAGUGCCUAGAGGGAGAAUAAACGGCAGGAAAAAAAGAAGAGAGCAACUUCCAGGCUAGCUUUCCCGUCCACUCAACACCCGGCAGCUUCUACUUUAAUUUGGGAGUGUAGAAAAGGCGGCUAUAGCGACCAAACGUCGGCGGGGGCGCGACCCUUUUUAAAUCGGCGACCAAACGUUAAAAUAAGUAUCGGAACUCGCCCGGAGGUGUUACCCAUUUUUUUUCUUAAUUUUUGUUGUUGUUGGUGUCGGUUUAGUGCCCGAAAAAAAGUAAAAAUCCCGAGUAAAUUCGGGUAAGAUUGCAGUGGCGCGCAAGCGCCGAAGAAGCCGUAUGCCGGCGUAUUAGUAUUUAUAAGGUUAGGCUAGUUUUUUUUUAUAUAUGUUAAUUUGUCCAAAUCAGUGGCAAAAUUUUAUUUGAAGUGCUCGUGAUAUGUAUGGUUUUAAUUGUUAAGCCACUGUUUUAUUUUUGCAUUUUUUUUUCUUGUUGCCUUAUUCCGUAAUUCGGAAGGCACCAAUUUUUUUUAGUGAGAACGUGAGAGCGAUUAUUGGUUCUCUCUUGCGCUUGUGCGCUUUACUUUGCUUCCCGCGGUUUUUUUUGUUUGCGCGCUCUUAUUCCAGCGCGGUGUCUUUUUUUACAGCUACGCUCGUUCCAGACGGAAAGCGCUUUCUGCGUGGGAUCAGCAGCCCAGCCCGCUAUAAUAUCACCAUACGGGACCUCAAACAGCCGCUUCUUCUUUCUCAUCCAACCGAAAGGAACAUUGUGCAGGAUUGGAUCAACUUAUAAUGCUGAACCCAGAGCUGGCACGGGAUACCCGUAUCAACAAUGCAAUGCGGGCUGAUUUCAGUCGGCGCUUGUUGACUUCGGCGCAGAUCGUGCAAGUUUUGAAAUCAUGGAAUAUGGAUCUAGACAAGAAUCUGGUUGAGAUACCCGCUCGCGUUCUGAUGCCAGAGAAAAUUAAUUUUGGCAACCAGAAGCACUACGCUCUGAUUGGACUGGCGCCACUUAUGUUACAGAAAAGGUUGUCGUCCGAGCAGACAAAAUCGUGAAGUAGGAAGUUUCCCUUCACAGUUUCAAAAACUCCUCAAUAAUUAGUGUUGUCUAAGGGUGCAAAGAGCGUGCAGAAAGCUCGACCAAAUGGAGUAGAUGGACAUUAUUAGAAGCGAACUGUUGCAUACUUACUUGCGCCAAACUUACACCAAACACACCACGUCUACCACCGUGCGAGGUGAGAGGUCAGAAGCUCUAAUACGAAGACACAAACCACACAGUCUCGUCCUCCAAUAAAGGCAUGGUCGAGAUAAUUCAUCGUAUUUGUUUAUAAAAUCUGCAAUCUAAA